Molecule: ribosomal RNA, 452 nt
Filed under: uncultured Porphyromonadaceae bacterium
Lineage: Bacteria; Pseudomonadati; Bacteroidota; Bacteroidia; Bacteroidales; Porphyromonadaceae
Description: partial 16S ribosomal RNA
Rfam family: Bacterial small subunit ribosomal RNA
Source: RNAcentral
ACGGAAGGCAGCAGUGAGGAAUAUUGGUCAAUGGCCGGAAGGCUGAACCAGCCAUGCCGCGUGAAGGAAUAGGGUCCUACGGAUUGUAAACUUCUUUUGUACGGAGCAAUAAGAGCCACGUGUGGUCCGAUGAGAGUACCGUACGAAUAAGCAUCGGCUAACUCCGUGCCAGCAGCCGCGGUAAUACGGAGGAUGCAAGCGUUAUCCGGAUUUAUUGGGUUUAAAGGGUGCGUAGGCGGUAUUGUAAGUCAGCGGUGAAAUGUCCUCGCCCAACGGGGAACGUGCCGUUAUACUGCAGUACUUGAAUUCGGAUGUCGUGGGAGGAAUGUGUAGUGUAGCGGUGAAAUGCAUAGAUAUUACACAGAACACCGAUUGCGAAGGCAUCUCACGAAUCCGCGAUUGACGCUGAGGCACGAAAGUGUGGGUAUCGAACAGGAUUAGAUACCCUGGUA